AAGGAAUUCUGGAACAUUUCCAGUCAAAUUAUUGUUCUGUAAAUCUAUAUAUUCAAGAGCAUCCAUUGAGCUGAAAUCUGGGAGUGGCCCAGAAAGUAAAUACCCGCUGAGAUUCAAUGCAAUUACUCGAGGCGAAACAUCAGCACUGCAAUUGAGCCAAUCCCAUGCAUCUUUUUUUGGAAGACAGGGGUCACUCUUCCAUUCCCGUAAUAUACUGAAACCUCCUUGCAAGGCAUCUAGCCCCUCCACAUCUGCACUGGAUGUUCUAGUUAGUGGAUCACUGACAAGAAAAAGUUCCAAGGCGUUGAUGGUCGGAGUGACUGUUGAAUUAUCAUUGCUUGUAGGAACUAAAUAAAACCAAGAUGCAUUUGAAGCAGUAAUGUUUGGAAAGCUUAGUUCAGUAACGUUGUUGUAAUAUGGGACAACAGGUUCAGAGGUAAGCAAGAGAUCAUCCUUAAAUACUAGAAAAGACCGCUUUUGGGGAGGAGAGGCUUCUAUUUCUUUAUCCACUACAGCAAAGUACAUGUUCAUGUAUAUGGGAACUUGAACUGUUGGUAGCCGAACGAAUCUAAAGUUCGUUAGAGGAAACAAAACACCAAGCAAAACAGCUUUUGGAGGUUGAUCACUCGUGUCAACAACAAUAGAAUCAUUUUCUCUUUUUACAAAUAUAUAAUCACCUAAAAUGUUUGGUGGAUUCCAAAUUCGAUCAUACUCGUCAUCCGGAUGCCUGACAGCUGAAAUUAUUCCAAAAGAAAUCCUAUAUUGCAAGAACAAAGCAACAUUUUUAUCAGCACGAGCAGCAUACAUCUCAUCUCUGUAGCCAAACUCCUCACUUCAAGUGCUGACAUGAAGGGAAACUGGCCAGUUUUCAUCCGCGCUACGCACACACUUAUAGCAUCCCCUUUAACAUAGUAAAUAGCC
RNAcentral lists this unclassified non-coding RNA (921 nucleotides) under Hevea brasiliensis (rubber tree). Lineage: Eukaryota; Viridiplantae; Streptophyta; Magnoliopsida; Malpighiales; Euphorbiaceae. The record is from RNAcentral.